Molecule: ribosomal RNA, 246 nt
Filed under: uncultured bacterium
Lineage: Bacteria
Description: partial 16S ribosomal RNA
Rfam family: Bacterial small subunit ribosomal RNA
Source: RNAcentral
GCAAGUCGAACGAGAAAGCACUUUCGGGUGUGAGUACAGUGGCGCACGGGUGAGUAACACGUGGGUAAUCUACCUUUUGGUGGGGGACAACAUCCCGAAAGGGGUGCUAAUACCGCAUAAGUCCACUUCGGUGGGGAAAGGCGGCCUUCGGGCUGUCGCCAGAAGAUGAGCCCGCGGCCCAUCAGCUUGUUGGUAGGGUAAUGGCCCACCAAGGCCGAGAUGGGUAGCUGGUCUGAGAGGAUGAUC